AUGCAAGGCGUCGGUGACCAGGGAGGAGGCAUGGAGAUGAGCUUCGGUGGUGGGGGCGGAGGUGGAGGGGAGUGCUCAUCGUCGUCCGUGGUGGCAGUGGCAGUCGCGACCGCGUUGGCGGCCGAGGCGGAGGAGCGGCAGCUGCUCAAGGGGAAGAUGGUGGUGCACCCGUUGUGCGAGCAGCUAGUGGCGGCGCACGUCAGCUGCAUGCACGUGGCCACCCCAAUCGACCACCUCCCGCUCAUCGACGCGCAGCUCGCGCAGUCCGGCGGCCUCCUCCACUCCUACGCCACCCACCAAUGCCCCUUCCUCUCCCCGCACGACAAGGAGGAGCUCGACUCCUUCCUCAUGCGCGCUACCUACCUACCACUUCCUCCAUGGAUUGACUGA
RNAcentral lists this ribosomal RNA (390 nucleotides) under Triticum aestivum (bread wheat). RNAcentral describes it as "partial small subunit ribosomal RNA". Lineage: Eukaryota; Viridiplantae; Streptophyta; Magnoliopsida; Poales; Poaceae. The record is from RNAcentral.